RNAcentral lists this ribosomal RNA (775 nucleotides) under uncultured Neocallimastigales. RNAcentral describes it as "partial large subunit ribosomal RNA". It matches the Rfam family "Eukaryotic large subunit ribosomal RNA", at positions 24 to 644 of the family's 3401-position model. The record is from RNAcentral. Lineage: Eukaryota; Fungi; Neocallimastigomycota; Neocallimastigomycetes; Neocallimastigales.
UAUCUCUGUAGAGUCUGCAUAUCAAUAAGCGGAGGAAAAGAAACUAACAAGGAUUCCCUUAGUAACGGCGAGUGAAGCGGGAAGAGCUCAAAUUUGAAAUCUUCAAGGUUUUACCUUGACGAAUUGUAGUUUAAAGAAGUGUUUUCUGUUAGAUGAGUAGCAAAAGUUCCUUGGAAUGGGACAUCAUAGAGGGUGAGAAUCCCGUAUUUGGUUAUUCAUUCUAGCUUUGUGAUACACUUUCAAAGAGUCGGAUUGUUUGGGAAUGCAGUCCAAAAUGGGUGGUAAAUUUCAUCUAAAGCUAAAUAUUGGCGAGAGACCGAUAGCGAACAAGUACCGUGAGGGAAAGAUGAAAAGAACUUUGAAAAGAGAGUUAAACAGUACGUGAAAUUGUCAAAAGGGAAGCGUUUGACACCAGUGUUGUUUUUCCGAAAAUCAAUUACGAAUGGCUUGAUUUUGUGUUGUAUUGACCUUAUCAGCUUUCUUCACUUUUUUUCGAGUCUUUCUUAAUGCACUUUUCGGUUAACAAGUCAACAUCAAUUUCUUUUGUUGUAAAAGAGUAUUCGGAAGGUGGCUUUCUUUUCGGAGAAAGUGUUUAUAGCCCUAUACUUCUACAAUCGGAGAGAUUGAGGUCUGCAGCGUAGAUCCUUCGGGGUUAGAUACACUUGUGCUAAGUUGUAGCUUUUCAUAGACAACUUGUUGACUAUGUUUAGUCAUGCGGCUUACUCGCUUGUGCUAUUUUACCUACGCUUAGGAUGUUGACUGAUAUGUAGUCGUA